This 497-nucleotide ribosomal RNA is filed under the name uncultured bacterium. RNAcentral describes it as "partial 16S ribosomal RNA". It matches the Rfam family "Bacterial small subunit ribosomal RNA", at positions 28 to 507 of the family's 1533-position model. The record is from RNAcentral.
GAUGAACGCUGGCGGCGUGCCUAAUACAUGCAAGUCGAGCGAACGGACGAGAAGCUUGCUUUUCUGAUGUUAGCGGCGGACGGGUGAGUAACACGUGGAUAACCUACCUAUAAGACUGGGAUAACUUCGGGAAACCGGAGCUAAUACCGGAUAAUAUUUUGAACCGCUUGGUUCAAAAGUGAAAGACGGUCUUGCUGUCACUUAUAGAUGGAUCCGCGCUGCAUUAGCUAGUUGGUAAGGUAACGGCUUACCAAGGCAACGAUGCAUAGCCGACCUGAGAGGGUGAUCGGCCACACUGGAACUGAGACACGGUCCAGACUCCUACGGGAGGCAGCAGUAGGGAAUCUUCCGCAAUGGGCGAAGGCCUGACGGAGCAACGCCGCGUGAGUGAUGAAGGUCUUCGGAUCGUAAAACUCUGUUAUUAGGGAAGAACAUAUGUGGAAGUAACUGUGCACAUCUUGACGGUACCUAAUCAGAAAGCCACGGCUAACUACGUG